GCAGGUCAGUCGUCUCAGCAGAGUUCAGUGCCAGAUUACACUGCAGCGUUAGCAGAAUACUACAGACAGCAGCCCUACCUGUGGAACCCUGCCCAGAUACAGGAUCACUAGAGGCUCCUCCCUCACUGGUGCAGGUCUUGGAUCGUCGUCAAUGGCAACCGAAAUCGGGGUUUCCUAGCAACGCUCCGCCGCUUCCUCCUUCCUUUUGUAGAGAAAAACUAAGGAUUAACUGAAAAUCACGAACUCUUUUCUUUCUGUUUUUUAACCUUACAAAGUUGAUAUUUUGUCGGGCAGAUUUUUUUGGACUAGCCUCUGGUCUCUCCAGUGUAGACCUGGUUUUUCUUUUUGUUUUUUUAUCAAACUUGAACUUAAAGAUGUAUCAGUGUGGCUUUGAACAAAAAAAAA
Molecule: non-coding RNA, 405 nt
Organism: Paralichthys olivaceus (Japanese flounder)
Lineage: Eukaryota; Metazoa; Chordata; Actinopteri; Pleuronectiformes; Paralichthyidae
Source: RefSeq, a predicted model, not a curated record